UUCGACACACUAUCAUUAACUGAAUCCAUAGGUUAAUGAGGCGAACCGGGGGAACUGAAACAUCUAAGUACCCCGAGGAAAAGAAAUCAACCGAGAUUCCCCCAGUAGCGGCGAGCGAACGGGGAGCAGCCCAGAGCCUGAAUCAGUAUGUGUGUUAGUGGAAGCGUCUGGAAAGGCGCGCGAUACAGGGUGACAGCCCCGUACACAAAAAUGCACAUGCUGUGAGCUCGAUGAGUAGGGCGGGACACGUGGUAUCCUGUCUGAAUAUGGGGGGACCAUCCUCCAAGGCUAAAUACUCCUGACUGACCGAUAGUGAACCAGUACCGUGAGGGAAAGGCGAAAAGAACCCCGGCGAGGGGAGUGAAAAAGAACCUGAAACCGUGUACGUACAAGCAGUGGGAGCACGCUUAGGCGUGUGACUGCGUACCUUUUGUAUAAUGGGUCAGCGACUUAUAUUCUGUAGCAAGGUUAACCGAAUAGGGGAGCCGAAGGGAAACCGAGUCUUAACUGGGCGUUAAGUUGCAGGGUAUAGACCCGAAACCCGGUGAUCUAGCCAUGGGCAGGUUGAAGGUUGGGUAACACUAACUGGAGGACCGAACCGACUAAUGUUGAAAAAUUAGCGGAUGACUUGUGGCUGGGGGUGAAAGGCCAAUCAAACCGGGAGAUAGCUGGUUCUCCCCGAAAGCUAUUUAGGUAGCGCCUCGUGAAUUCAUCUCCGGGGGUAGAGCACUGUUUCGGCAAGGGGGUCAUCCCGACUUACCAACCCGAUGCAAACUGCGAAUACCGGAGAAUGUUAUCACGGGAGACACACGGCGGGUGCUAACGUCCGUCGUGAAGAGGGAAACAACCCAGACCGCCAGCUAAGGUCCCAAAGUCAUGGUUAAGUGGGAAACGAUGUGGGAAGGCCCAGACAGCCAGGAUGUUGGCUUAGAAGCAGCCAUCAUUUAAAGAAAGCGUAAUAGCUCACUGGUCGAGUCGGCCUGCGCGGAAGAUGUAACGGGGCUAAACCAUGCACCGAAGCUGCGGCAGCGACGCUGAUGCGUUGUUGGGUAGGGGAGCGUUCUGUAAGCCUGCGAAGGUGUGCUGUGAGGCAUGCUGGAGGUAUCAGAAGUGCGAAUGCUGACAUAAGUAACGAUAAAGCGGGUGAAAAGCCCGCUCGCCGGAAGACCAAGGGUUCCUGUCCAACGUUAAUCGGGGCAGGGUGAGUCGACCCCUAAGGCGAGGCCGAAAGGCGUAGUCGAUGGGAAACAGGUUAAUAUUCCUGUACUUGGUGUUACUGCGAAGGGGGGACGGAGAAGGCUAUGUUGGCCGGGCGACGGUUGUCCCGGUUUAAGCGUGUAGGCUGGUUUUCCAGGCAAAUCCGGAAAAU
Molecule: ribosomal RNA, 1369 nt
Filed under: Escherichia coli
Lineage: Bacteria; Pseudomonadati; Pseudomonadota; Gammaproteobacteria; Enterobacterales; Enterobacteriaceae
Description: partial 23S ribosomal RNA
Rfam family: Bacterial large subunit ribosomal RNA
Source: RNAcentral